CCUGCGGUGGAGGUGCCCCAGUACGUGGGCAUCCGGCUCCUGGUGGAAGGCUCCACUAUCAAGAAACCCCUGACCAUGUAUCAUCGACGGAUGGGGGUCCACCCCGCAUUUCCUCGUCUGCUGACCCAGCAAGGCUCUGGGGAAGGCAAGGACUCAGGGACCCCUACCCACAGGUCAGCUUCUAGGAAAGUUGGCAGGGCCAGGAGCCGGGGCACAUGGAAAGGCCAACCUUCACUGCCACUACUUCGGUGCCCGGAAAGGGGAAGAAUGGCAAGUCGAAAAGAGCCACAGCCCUGCUUACCCCCAGCCUUGAGCAGACCAGACCACCUUUGCAUCUGAAGACCCCCAUCACCCAACACACCCAAGGGUCCCGAGGCAAGGCCUUGAUGACUCUGCCAACAGCCAAGGUUUUCAUUUGCUUCCCACCCAACCCUGCUCUCAAGCUGGCACCCAGCAUCUCAAAGCCAAAAAAGGUGCAGCUCUUCCUAGCAUCCCUAAGAAGGUCAAGGGCAAGUUUAAGGCCAGACAGUGUGACAAACCGAGGCACCCCAGGCCCAGGCAUGCUCUGUGAAGAGGCUUAACCUCCCACAACCCUCACCCCUUGCUUCUACGUUCCAGGGGCCAGCAGUCAAGGGGCCCUGGGGGAUGUGAGGCUGGAGAAAGCCCGGCUCUGACCCCCAUGGCCCUGGCCUGGAUCCAGCCUCAAAUAAAAAGGAGCACAUGGAGUAUUCUGGGUUGACUUCCCUGUACUGGAGGGGGAAGGGUGGGACGAGGCCCCUGCCCCCAAGGUCCAGCCAUGGUGAGAGCUGGAGGCCGGAACUCCCAACAGGGAAGUUGGAGACUUCUGUGCAGGGAUCACACACAUGAGAAACCAAGUCUGGAAAAGGAUAUGUGGCUGGCCCAGUAUGUUGUGAUGUUGUGGCAGUGAGUGGAAAGCAGGGGGCUUUCUCCUGGCCACCAGGAGCUCCCCAGUCCCAGGAGACAGGCUAGGGACAGUAAUGACAGCAGCUGGGGGACAAAGUCAGCCUUGCCUGAACUCACCCCACUUCCAGAGGACAUGGGUCUGUCCUUCCUCUGCAAGAAG
Long non-coding RNA from Heterocephalus glaber (naked mole-rat), 1084 nucleotides. Lineage: Eukaryota; Metazoa; Chordata; Mammalia; Rodentia; Bathyergidae. The record is from Ensembl.